AUACGUAUGUCGCAAGCGUUAUCCGGAUUUAUUGGGCGUAAAGCGCGUCUAGGCGGCUUAGUAAGUCUGAUGUGAAAAUGCGGGGCUCAACCCCGUAUUGCGUUGGAAACUGCUAAACUAGAGUACUGGAGAGGUAGGCGGAACUACAAGUGUAGAGGUGAAAUUCGUAGAUAUUUGUAGGAAUGCCGAUGGGGAAGCCAGCCUACUGGACAGAUACUGACUCUAAAGCGCGAAAGCGUGGGUAGCAAACAGGAUUAGAUACCCUGGUAGUCCACGCCGUAAACGAUGAUUACUAGGUGUUGGGGGUCGAACCUCAGCGCCCAAGCUAACGCGAUAAGUAAUCCGCCUGGGGAGUACGUACGCAAGUAUGAAACUCAAAUGAAUUGACGGGG
This 392-nucleotide ribosomal RNA is filed under the name uncultured bacterium. RNAcentral's name for it is "partial 16S ribosomal RNA". It matches the Rfam family "Bacterial small subunit ribosomal RNA", at positions 523 to 918 of the family's 1533-position model. The record is from RNAcentral.